GGAAAGGCGCGCGAUACAGGGUGACAGCCCCGUACACAAAAAUGCACAUGCUGUGAGCUCGAUGAGUAGGGCGGGACACGUGGUAUCCUGUCUGAAUAUGGGGGGACCAUCCUCCAAGGCUAAAUACUCCUGACUGACCGAUAGUGAACCAGUACCGUGAGGGAAAGGCGAAAAGAACCCCGGCGAGGGGAGUGAAAAAGAACCUGAAACCGUGUACGUACAAGCAGUGGGAGCACGCUUAGGCGUGUGACUGCGUACCUUUUGUAUAAUGGGUCAGCGACUUAUAUUCUGUAGCAAGGUUAACCGAAUAGGGGAGCCGAAGGGAAACCGAGUCUUAACUGGGCGUUAAGUUGCAGGGUAUAGACCCGAAACCCGGUGAUCUAGCCAUGGGCAGGUUGAAGGUUGGGUAACACUAACUGGAGGACCGAACCGACUAAUGUUGAAAAAUUAGCGGAUGACUUGUGGCUGGGGGUGAAAGGCCAAUCAAACCGGGAGAUAGCUGGUUCUCCCCGAAAGCUAUUUAGGUAGCGCCUCGUGAAUUCAUCUCCGGGGGUAGAGCACUGUUUCGGCAAGGGGGUCAUCCCGACUUACCAACCCGAUGCAAACUGCGAAUACCGGAGAAUGUUAUCACGGGAGACACACGGCGGGUGCUAACGUCCGUCGUGAAGAGGGAAACAACCCAGACCGCCAGCUAAGGUCCCAAAGUCAUGGUUAAGUGGGAAACGAUGUGGGAAGGCCCAGACAGCCAGGAUGUUGGCUUAGAAGCAGCCAUCAUUUAAAGAAAGCGUAAUAGCUCACUGGUCGAGUCGGCCUGCGCGGAAGAUGUAACGGGGCUAAACCAUGCACCGAAGCUGCGGCAGCGACGCUGAUGCGUUGUUGGGUAGGGGAGCGUUCUGUAAGCCUGUGAAGGUGUGCUGUGAGGCAUGCUGGAGGUAUCAGAAGUGCGAAUGCUGACAUAAGUAACGAUAAAGCGGGUGAAAAGCCCGCUCGCCGGAAGACCAAGGGUUCCUGUCCAACGUUAAUCGGGGCAGGGUGAGUCGACCCCUAAGGCGAGGCCGAAAGGCGUAGUCGAUGGGAAACAGGUUAAUAUUCCUGUACUUGGUGUUACUGCGAAGGGGGGACGGAGAAGGCUAUGUUGGCCGGGCGACGGUUGUCCCGGUUUAAGCGUGUAGGCUGGUUUUCCAGGCAAAUCCGGAAAAU
Molecule: ribosomal RNA, 1200 nt
Filed under: Escherichia coli
Lineage: Bacteria; Pseudomonadati; Pseudomonadota; Gammaproteobacteria; Enterobacterales; Enterobacteriaceae
Description: partial 23S ribosomal RNA
Rfam family: Bacterial large subunit ribosomal RNA
Source: RNAcentral